Long non-coding RNA from Anolis carolinensis (green anole), 2279 nucleotides. RefSeq lists it as uncharacterized. The record is from RefSeq and is a predicted model, not a curated record. The transcript is spliced from 3 exons. NCBI's taxonomy places the organism in Eukaryota, Metazoa, Chordata, Lepidosauria, Squamata, Anolidae.
AGGACUGCGGGGUUCUUGAAAGGCCAGAGCGACAGACGCGGGGAGCCGGUGUUUUCUUCUGAUGUGUUUUAAUAGGAAACAGCGUAGACCCAGCGUGACCUAGUGGUUUGAGACCAGGGUUCGAAUCCCUGUUCCGCCUUGGAAAGGACCUACCAACAAACAUGGCUAAUAUAGCAUCAUACAAUAAUAGCAUAGGGUUCCUGUGAGUUUUCUGGGCUGUAUGGCCAUGUCCCAGAAGCAUUCUCUUCUGAUGUUUUGCCCACAUGUAUGGCAGGCAUCCUCAGAGGUUGUAAUAUAUAUUGGAAACUAGGCCAAUGAGAUUUAUAUAUCUGGAAGGUCCAGGUUGGGAAAAAGAACGUUUGUCUGUUGUAGGCAAGGGUGAAUUUUGCAACUAAUCACCUUGAUUAGCAUUGGAAAGCCUUGCAGCGUCAAAACCUGGCUGCUUCCUGCCUGGAGGAAUCCUUUGUUGGGAGGUGUUAGCUGGCCCUGAUUGUUUGCUGUCUGGAAGUGCCCAGUUUUUUUAGUGUUGUGCUUUAUUUACUGUCCUGAUUCUAGAGUUUUUUUUUAAUACUGGUAGCCAGAUUUUGUUCACUUUCAUAGUUUCCUCCUUUCUGUUGAAAUUGCCCAUAUGUUAGUGGAUUUCAGUGGCUUCUCAGUGUAGUCUGACAUGGUGGUUGUUAGAGUGGUCCAGCCUUUCCGUGUUCUUAAAUAAUAUGCUGUGUCCAGAUUUGUUCAUCAAGGGCCCUGCUAUGGCUGACUUCUCUGGUUGAAUUAGUCUGCAGUGCCUUUCAUGUUCCUUGAUUCAUGUUUGGGCAUUGCUGCAUUUGAUGGUCCCUCUGUAGACUUGUCCACAGCUGCAUGGUAUAUGGUAGACUCCUGCAGAGGUGAGAGGAUCUCCCUUGUCCUUUGCUGAACGUAGCAUUUGUUGGAUUUUCUUAGUGGGUCUGUAGAUAGUUUGUAGGUUGUGUUUCUUCAUCAGCUUCCCUAUGUGGUCAGUGGUUCCCUGGAUGUAUGAUAAGAACAGUUUUCCUCUGGGCAGCCUUGGGCCGGGCUGUGGCACAGCUGGUUAGUAGCCAGCAGCAAUAAAUCACCACUGACCGUGAGGUUAUUGUUCGAAACCCGGGUCAGGGUUAAGCUCACCUAGCUCACUGUUUACCUAAGCAGCUCGAAAGCAGAUGUGUCUGCAAGUAGAACAUUCUAGGUACCGCUUAAUGCGGGGAAGCUAAUUUAACGUAAUUUAUGACACCAUAAAUCUGACAACGGUGGGCAAAGAACAUGAGAGGAAAUACUGUAUUGAAGGGACCAUAAGCCAGAAAAUAGAAAACCUUUGCAUGUAUAGCUUUGCCUCUGCAUAUACCAUAUUAGCCUUUUAUAUAGACAGUGUAAGCCCUUUAUAUGAACCAAAGUAGUAUGUGUAACACAGGGCCUGUGCCCCUCCCUUCUUGGGGGCUGGUGCUUUUCUCCAGAAUGUUCUGAGGAGAGAAGAAAGCUCAGAGUAAACAUGUGAGGUCACAGAUACCACUUGUGCCAAAAUAGGUGUGGAAGGUGAGGAAGACCAUCAGCAAUUGGUCAAUUUUAGAUAAGCCAAGAUAUAUAUUCUUUGUUAACUGCAACACACUUUACAGUGGCUAUUUGCAUGGUACAGACCUUUGUGGGUGUGUACAGCUGUUUUGCCUUCUCAUAGCUAUGAUGGAAAUAAUUUUGCUUUUUGUGCUCUCACGAGAUUGGUUUUUCUGCCUGAUUGCUUCCAGGGCCGGAACCUUUGAAGACAAGUGGGAGCAGUUUCUGCAACAUGUGAUGGCAUAGGUCUCUAGCAUUUUCUGUUUGCUGGUUGCCUUGGAAAACAAUAAGAAAGGGAGAGUAUGAAGGCAAAGGCCAUUCACUAUCUGCAUCCAGUCCUGAACUUUCAUCAAAUGACAGCAAAAGCUUCUUCUUUGAAGACAUCAUCCACCAAAUCUACCCUUUCUGAUGUAUUAAUAGCAAUUCCAAGCUACCGGUAUUCAAUACUAAAAAAAUCUUGCCGAGUUUUGUUUGGACCACAGGGAAAUAGUAUCAAUUUCUAUGAAAUGUGUUGGAUUUUAUUUACCUUACAUGUACCCACAUUGUAAAUAAUGCAUAAUUUAUAUGUAUUUUAUAGAAAUGUUUUAAUACGUAUCUUUUAUAGAACUACAUUUUAAUAUGUGUGUUUAUAGAAUUUUUGCAGUUUGUGCAAUUUGAUUGUGCUGUGACCUGCCUUGAGAAGAGGCGGGUAAGAAAUAAAAUUAUUAUGUUGGCUUCUA